RNAcentral lists this ribosomal RNA (527 nucleotides) under uncultured bacterium. RNAcentral's name for it is "bacterial SSU rRNA". It matches the Rfam family "Bacterial small subunit ribosomal RNA", at positions 355 to 896 of the family's 1533-position model. The record is from RNAcentral.
UAGGGAAUAUUGCACAAUGGGCGAAAGCCUGAUGCAGCAACGCCGCGUGCGCGAAGAAGGCCUUCGGGUCGUAAAGCGCUUUUCUGAGAGAUGAGAAAGGACAGUAUCUCAGGAAUAAGUCUCGGCUAACUACGUGCCAGCAGCCGCGGUAAAACGUAGGAGGCGAGCGUUAUCCGGAUUCACUGGGCGUAAAGCGCGUGCAGGCGGUUCGGUAAGUUGGGCGUGAAAUCUCUCGGCUUAACUGGGAGAGGUCGUCCAAUACUACCGGGCUAGAGAGCGGUAGAGGAAGAUGGAAUUCCAGGUGUAGUGGUGAAAUGCGUAGAUAUCUGGAGGAACACCAGUGGCGAAAGCGAUCUUCUGGACCGUUUCUGACGCUCAGACGCGAAAGCCAGGGUAGUAAACGGGAUUAGAGACCCCGGUAAUCCUGGCCAUAAACGAUGUAAACUUGGCGUUGGUGGCUUAAACUCCAUCAGUGCCGCAGCNAACGCAAUAAGUUUACCGCCUGGGGACUACGAUCGCUAUGAUUA